Non-coding RNA from Styela clava, 71 nucleotides. Lineage: Eukaryota; Metazoa; Chordata; Ascidiacea; Stolidobranchia; Styelidae. The record is from the annotation of a RefSeq genome assembly.
UGUAAUGUAGUUUAUGGAAAAACGUGUAUUUGUGGAAUACAAAAAGACAAGAGAGUGAAGGUCCAUUAUAA